CGCGGUGGAUGGAGACAUCCGCCGGUCCUCGGGCAGGAGUCAGCAGCGGCCAUAGUAGCGACGAGAUUCCGCCAACGCGGAAGGGAGCGAAGGGC
Non-coding RNA from Lentisphaerae bacterium GWF2_57_35, 95 nucleotides. The record is from Rfam. Lineage: Bacteria; Pseudomonadati; Lentisphaerota.